This 1442-nucleotide small RNA is filed under the name Pongo abelii (Sumatran orangutan). RNAcentral describes it as "processed transcript". The record is from RNAcentral. Lineage: Eukaryota; Metazoa; Chordata; Mammalia; Primates; Hominidae.
AAGGCCCACAAUUAAGACCAGUGAGAGGCAAUGCUCUAACACAUUCUUCUGUUUCAUCUAUUUCCUAGACACGUGUUCUUUAUGAAUUCCUGCAACCUGGAAGUCAAAGGGUCCUUCCUGUGUGUUUAUAGUUUGAAUUCCUUCAACUACACCCACAGUCCAAAAGCAGACUCACUGUGUCCCAGGCUACCAGUUCCUCCAAGCAAGUCAUUUCCCUUAUUUAACCGAUGUGUCCCUCAAACACCUGAGUGCUACUCCCUAUUUGCAUCUGUUUUGAUAAAUGAUGUUGACACCCUCCACCGAAUUCUAAGUGGAAUCAUGUCGGGAAGAGAUACAAUCCUUGGCCUGUGUAUCCUCGCAUUAGCCUUGUCUUUGGCCAUGAUGUUUACCUUCAGAUUCAUCACCACCCUUCUGGUUCACAUUUUCAUUUCAUUGGUUAUUUUGGGAUUGUUGUUUGUCUGCGGUGUUUUAUGGUGGCUGUAUUAUGACUAUACCAAUGAUCUCAGCAUAGAAUUGGACACAGAAAGGGAAAAUAUGAAGUGCGUGCUGGGGUUUGCUAUCGUAUCUACAGGCAUCACGGCAGUGCUGCUCAUCUUGAUUUUUGUUCUCAGAAAGAGAAUAAAAUUGACAGUUGAGCUUUUCCAAAUCACAAAUAAAGCCAUCAGCAGUGCUCCCUUCCUGCUGUUCCAGCCACUGUGGACAUUUGCCAUCCUCAUUUUCUUCUGGGUCCUCUGGGUGGCUGUGCUGCUGAGCCUGGGAACUGCAGGAGCUGCCCAGGUUAUGGAAGGUGGCCAAGUGGAAUAUAAGCCCCUUUCGGGCAUUCGGUACAUGUGGUCGUACCAUUUAAUUGGCCUCAUCUGGACUAGUGAAUUCAUCCUUGCGUGCCAGCAAAUGACUAUAGCUGGGGCAGUGGUUACUUGUUAUUUCAACAGAAGUAAAAAUGACCCUCCUGAUCGUCCCAUCCUUUCGUCUCUCUCCAUUCUCUUCUUCUACCAUCAAGGAACCGUUGUGAAAGGGUCAUUUUUAAUCUCUGUGGUGAGGAUUCCAAGAAUCAUUGUCAUGUACAUGCAAAACGCACUGAAAGAACAGCAGCAUGGUGCAUUGUCCAGGUACCUGUUCCGAUGCUGCUACUGCUGUUUCUGGUGUCUUGACAAAUACCUGCUCCAUCUCAACCAGGAAAUUCAUCUGACAUCUGACUGAAAAUCUCUAAGACCCGCACCAUGGGAGGCUGAUUACUGCAGUACACUCCACACUGAUUUCCUUACGAUGUGUUUGAAGGGGUGUACAAAAGGGUUAAUUUGUAUAUCAUGAAAUAAAAAACUUUCAUCCUUUACGCAAACCAAAAGGAAUGACAACAACCCAAGCAGAAUGCAUAUACUACGACUGCUAUUAAUGGGACAGAUUUCUGUACAUCAGCAAAAGAUGCAUUCAAAAUCUUGUCC